UUGCGGUAAAAAAGCUCGUAGUUGGAUUUCUGUUGAGGACGACCGGUCCGUACCAUGUACGCGACAUCUGGUUCGGCCUCGGCAUCCUCUCGAUAGACGUUUCUGCGCUUGAUUGCGUGGAGCGGAUUUCGGGACUUUUACUUUGAGGAAAUUAGAGUGUUCACGGCAGGCUAUCGCCAGAAUACAUUAGCAUGGAAUAAUACUAUAGGAUCUCGGUUCUAUUUUGUUGGUUUCUAGACCCGGGGUAAUGAUUAAUAGGGACAAUUGGGGGCAUUUGUAUCAACACGUCAGAGGUGGAAUUCUUGGAUUGUGUUGCGACAAACUACUGCGAAAGCAUUUGCCAAGGAUGUUUUCAUUGAUCAAGAACGAAAGUAAGGGGAUCGAAGACGAUUAGAUA
RNAcentral lists this ribosomal RNA (397 nucleotides) under uncultured marine eukaryote. RNAcentral's name for it is "SSU rRNA". It matches the Rfam family "Eukaryotic small subunit ribosomal RNA", at positions 613 to 1014 of the family's 1831-position model. The record is from RNAcentral.